UGACGUAAGAAAGCAGAGUCUGCGUGAGUCCAGGGGGCGGGUCUAGUAGAACGGGACGCAAGCGCCGCGGAGUCCAGCAGGCGUGGCAGCUUCCGCGCCUGCGCGGUUCCAGUUUCCCGUCUACGUCUACCACCUGUGCGGGUUUUCGCUGCCUUCUGGAAAGUGGAGGUUGUAUCGAGGGGCGUGGCAGGAUCGCCCGAGGCUUAUCGUAGUGGGGAGCACGGGAGGUGUUGCGAGGGGAGAAAUGCCUAGACACGGGCUAACGUGGGAGGGGGUCGCUUUACAGCUUGGAUACCUUCCCCGCAGGCGCAUGCUGCUGCUCGCCCACCUUUGGCGUUUUGCUGACUCACGCCAACUCUCGGUCCAGAGUGGAUCAGUUUCAAUUAGUCCUGCUAGUUGAAUCAGCUGGGUGAGGAGCACACUUCUGCUUGCCUCUUUGCUCUGUCCUCAGUUCCUUCACACUUCAUAGGUGUUCAACUGGGUCAUUGAGAAUGAAGUUCUGCCACCCCAAGGCACAUCACCCACUGCCAGAAAACCUGAACAAGCCCUUUUAUAAGUUCAUUGUUUAUCCUGGGUCUACAGACAAAGCAGAUCUCAAGUGUCUGUAAAAGAUACACCUCACACACACACUCAAUUUGCAAAAUUAGACAACUUUAUUCCAAUGCGCUCAAAUUACACCCGUUUAUAUUUCCGAGACAAUCUCUCUAGAGAGCCUAAGCUAACUUAAGAACUGAACCUCCUGCCUGUCGCCAAAGUGCUGGAAUUAAAGGCAUGUGACAACACUCGACUGCCCAUUCAUCCAGCUUAAGCAUUAUUGCAAUGGGGAGCUGCCAGUCUUGGUGUUAAAGUUUAAAAAAGCUAUCAGCAUGCCUGAGGUUAUAGAUUAGUUGGUAAAAUGCUUGUCUACCCUGAGGCUUUGUGUUUGAUCCCCGGUACCUCAUAAAACUGGGUGCGGUGCAUGCCAAUAACUCCAACAUUCAGGAGGCAGGGAUAGAAUGAUCAAGAAUUCAAGGUUGCUGGACUUAGAUGGAACCAGCCUUUAAUCCCGGCACUCAGGAGGCAGAAAAAGGCAGAUCUCUGAGUUCAAGGCCACCCUGAUCUACAGAAUUCCAGGACAACUAGGGUUAAAGAGAAAAACCUAAGGAGAAAAAAAAAAAAAAAUCAAGGUCACCCCACUGCUACAAAAUGAGUUCCAGGCCAUUCUGGGGCCAUUUGAAACCUUGUUUCAAUUCUCUGGUCUCAGUAAGCUACUGAGUACUCAAUUCUCUGGUCUCAGUAAGCUACUGAGUACACCCAUAUGUGUAUAAUACAUUUAGGAGACUAGGGCAGGCAAUUUGGGAGUUCGAGGCCAUUCUGGACUGUACUAACUUCCGCAUAAACAAAACAGCAAUUGAACCUCUAGAUCUAAUAACCAGUUUACAGUAAAUUCAGGCCAGGGGCUGGAGAAAGGACUCUGAGAAGUGCUUGUUCUGUUCUCAGCAUUAAGACCUGAGUUUGAUCCCUUGUACCCAAGUAAAGUCAGAUGUAUCUGUAAGUCACUGUGGUCUAUUUUCUGUAUAAAAUGUACUUAGGCGCUUCCAGUUUACUUUAGAGUUGAGACAUUAGUAGCUAUGCAACUGAGCCAAUGUAUCAGGAAAUCAGAGAGGGUUCUCCAGCCCCAGGAGGAUACAGGGUUUGGGGUGGAGACAAUGGUAGAAAAACAACGGGAAAGACUGAAACUCUCUGGAAUAUCAGGGGAAAAAAGGGCAGGAUUUUUUUUUUUUUUAAAUAUAGAUCAGAGACUCUAAAAACAUUGGUUGUGCCAAAUCAUAGGGCCAGCCAGGCCUUUCUGCCUGUUUCCCAGGCUGCUUUAUGUUAGUUAUUCUGUCUCCAGUCCUGAGACGUGAGGCACAUCUUUACUCCCACACCCUAAACCCCAGUGCUGGUAGGCAAGGUAAGAUCACCAGGACUUAGGAGCUGGUCCGCUGAGCAAAAUCAUUUUUCCAGGGCCAGUGAGAUACUGUCUUGAAACUAGAGGCAGUUGAAGAAUACACUCAACACGAACAUCUGACCUCUAUCUGUACACACACACACACACACACACACACACACACACACCAUUGAAACCUAGAGGCUGGAGACAGAUGGUUCAGCAGUUAAGAACACUUGCUGCUCUUUCAAGGGAUUGGUGUGUGGUUCUCAGCAUUCAAAUGACUGCUCACAACUCUCUGCAACUCCACUUCCAGGGGAACCCGAUGCCCCUGUGGCAUUGGGGAGUUCUCUGCAUACAUGUGAUGCAGGUAAAUCCCUCAGGCAUUAAAUGAAGAUAAAAUUAACCAAACACGGUUCUUCUGGCAGGCCAUACGGCAGGCAUCAAGAUGGCACACGCUGCUAAGGCUGUUUCCUACACUUUUACAAAGUUCUUUUGUAGUUCAGGUUCCCCUCCAGACUCUUGCUCUGAGGCCAUCCUGAAGAAGAUGCUCUGUCCUCACUUUCCGGUUCCCCUUAUGAAAAUGAACCUUGGAAAUACCUGGAUUCACAAUACCAGAACAGCUAUGGCUCUCGCCCUGCUUGGGCUGACUACUGCUGCAACCACAAACGCUUGCCGCCAGUGCUGCUGGGAAUCCUUGCCCCAUCUGCCGGCAUCACAAGUUUCACGUUGACUUUAGGAUGUGAAGCUCUUGAAGAGUUUGUGCCCACACUGGUAUCAUCUUCCAUGCCUCAUACACAGGGGGUCUGUAUGAAGCGGCACAAGACGCUGACCCAGGCCAUCCAGAAAGCCAGGGAGUGUGGUCUUCUCAGUUGCUACCUUCUCCAGGUUGAGACCCGAGAUGCUGACUUUCCUACUAUACAUCGAACUGUCAGUGUGACUCCAUCAGCCACCACCCCACCCCACCCCCACACUGCUGUCAGGUGAACCUUGGUACCCGUGGUACAGCUGGCAACAGCCACGGAGAGAGAACUGACUCUAUCAAGGAAAUCUCCUAGAAGAAAGUGCCCCCCCCCCCACCUGAGUCAAUGCCUGAGAUGCUCAAGACACCACCAGCAGAAGCCUCCACCGAGGAGACCGACCUGGGAAGUCAGACUAAGGGAGUGCAGUCUAGGGCUAUGUGGUGUCAUGUGUUCUGCAAAGGGUUGUUUUGUGACAGUGGCAGACCCUAAAGGGAAUUGACUGGUAUGAAGAGGCCAAGCACAUUUGAAGUUGAAGAGGGACUAGAUGUAUAUGGGUAACUUUGGAGAGGGCUUACAUAUGAACUGGAGACUCUUGUGUGUGUGCUAGAUCGUGUAUCCCUAUUUUAAACUCUCUGGCUCAGCUUUUAUACAAUAACGCUGUGCCUCCUCAAAAGGAAAAUAAAACACCAAACCAAGCCAGUCCCCCCUCACCACCCCCCAAAAAAAAGCACAAUUAGGGGCUGGAGAAAUAGCUCAGUGGUUACGAGCAUGCACUUUUCUUACAGAGAACCAA
Mus musculus (house mouse) is the source of this 3445-nucleotide RNA transcript. It is a transcript of the gene named predicted gene 15760, with no coding region annotated. The record is from RefSeq and is marked validated. The transcript has a single exon. NCBI's taxonomy places the organism in Eukaryota, Metazoa, Chordata, Mammalia, Rodentia, Muridae.